This 497-nucleotide ribosomal RNA is filed under the name uncultured bacterium. RNAcentral's name for it is "partial 16S ribosomal RNA". It matches the Rfam family "Bacterial small subunit ribosomal RNA", at positions 28 to 507 of the family's 1533-position model. The record is from RNAcentral.
GAUGGACGCUGGCGGCGUGCCUAAUACAUGCAAGUCGAGCGAACGGACGAGAAGCUUGCUUCUCUGAUGUUAGCGGCGGACGGGUGAGUAACACGUGGAUAACCUACCUAUAAGACUGGGAUAACUUCGGGAAACCGUAGCUAAUACCGGAUAAUAUUUUGAACCGCAUGGUUCAAAAGUGAAAGACGGUCUUGCUGUCACUUAUAGAUGGAUCCGCGCUGCAUUAGCUAGUUGGUAAGGUAACGGCUUACCAAGGCAACGAUGCAUAGCCGACCGGAGAGGGUGAUCGGCCACACUGAGACUAAGCCACGGUCCAGACUCCAACGGGAGGAAGCAGGGGGGAGUGUGAGAGAAUGGGCGAAGGCCUGAAGGAGCAAGAUCGCGGGAGUGAAGAAGGCUGUCGGAUUGUAAAGCCCUGUUAUGGGGAAAGAACAGAAGCGGGAGAAAACGUCGCAAUUCUGACGGUAACGAAAAAGAAAGCAACGGCUAACUUCGUG